RNAcentral lists this ribosomal RNA (532 nucleotides) under Salmonella enterica. RNAcentral's name for it is "bacterial SSU rRNA". It matches the Rfam family "Bacterial small subunit ribosomal RNA", at positions 1 to 522 of the family's 1533-position model. Lineage: Bacteria; Pseudomonadati; Pseudomonadota; Gammaproteobacteria; Enterobacterales; Enterobacteriaceae. The record is from RNAcentral.
AAAUUGAAGAGUUUGAUCAUGGCUCAGAUUGAACGCUGGCGGCAGGCCUAACACAUGCAAGUCGAACGGUAACAGGAAGCAGCUUGCUGCUUUGCUGACGAGUGGCGGACGGGUGAGUAAUGUCUGGGAAACUGCCUGAUGGAGGGGGAUAACUACUGGAAACGGUGGCUAAUACCGCAUAACGUCGCAAGACCAAAGAGGGGGACCUUCGGGCCUCUUGCCAUCAGAUGUGCCCAGAUGGGAUUAGCUUGUUGGUGAGGUAACGGCUCACCAAGGCGACGAUCCCUAGCUGGUCUGAGAGGAUGACCAGCCACACUGGAACUGAGACACGGUCCAGACUCCUACGGGAGGCAGCAGUGGGGAAUAUUGCACAAUGGGCGCAAGCCUGAUGCAGCCAUGCCGCGUGUAUGAAGAAGGCCUUCGGGUUGUAAAGUACUUUCAGCGGGGAGGAAGGUGUUGCGGUUAAUAACCGCAGCAAUUGACGUUACCCGCAGAAGAAGCACCGGCUAACUCCGUGCCAGCAGCCGCGGUA